This 726-nucleotide ribosomal RNA is filed under the name uncultured Fusobacterium sp. RNAcentral describes it as "bacterial SSU rRNA". It matches the Rfam family "Bacterial small subunit ribosomal RNA", at positions 72 to 818 of the family's 1533-position model. Lineage: Bacteria; Fusobacteriati; Fusobacteriota; Fusobacteriia; Fusobacteriales; Fusobacteriaceae. The record is from RNAcentral.
CUUGAACUUCGGUUUGGGUGGCGGACGGGUGAGUAACGCGUAAAGAACUUGCCUCACAGUUAGGGACAACAUUUGGAAACGAAUGCUAAUACCUGAUAUUAUGAUUUUAGGGCAUCCUAAGAUUAUGAAAGCUAUAUGCGCUGUGAGAGAGCUUUGCGUCCCAUUAGCUAGUUGGAGAGGUAACGGCUCACCAAGGCGAUGAUGGGUAGCCGGCCUGAGAGGGUGAACGGCCACAAGGGGACUGAGACACGGCCCUUACUCCUACGGGAGGCAGCAGUGGGGAAUAUUGGACAAUGGACCAAAAGUCUGAUCCAGCAAUUCUGUGUGCACGAUGACGUUUUUCGGAAUGUAAAGUGCUUUCAGUUGGGAAGAAAAAAAUGACGGUACCAACAGAAGAAGUGACGGCUAAAUACGUGCCAGCAGCCGCGGUAAUACGUAUGUCACAAGCGUUAUCCGGAUUUAUUGGGCGUAAAGCGCGUCUAGGUGGUUAUGUAAGUCUGAUGUGAAAAUGCAGGGCUCAGCUCUGUAUUGCGUUGGAAACUGCAUGACUAGAGUACUGGAGAGGUAAGCGGAACUACAAGUGUAGAGGUGAAAUUCGUAGAUAUUUGUAGGAAUGCCGAUGAGGAAGCCAGCUUACUGGACAGAUACUGACGCUAAAGCGCGAAAGCGUGGGUAGCAAACAGGAUUAGAUACCCUGGUAGUCCACGCCGUAAACGAUGAUUACUA